Molecule: long non-coding RNA, 989 nt
Organism: Zalophus californianus (California sea lion)
Lineage: Eukaryota; Metazoa; Chordata; Mammalia; Carnivora; Otariidae
Exons: 3
Source: RefSeq, a predicted model, not a curated record
CCGUCAGUGCUCAGAGCUGCAGGCAGUCCUCACGGAGCCUGCAGGGGCCCCACGGGCCUGGCACGAAACAGGCCGCACCCGUAUGGUACUCAUUCUCACGGUUCCCAGGGCCCAAGUUCACUUUUCAUUCCUUCAAAAGGCCUCUUCAGCUCAACACAGACUUCCACAGAUGGCUUAGGGUCAUCUCAGAAACGUGUGGGUCAGACGGGGACUGCUCCUGCAGGCCCAGAAGUCACUUCACACACAAGGGUCACACCAGCUCAGGUUAGCAAGACACAUGUCCACUCAUACCAUUUGAUGGAUGUCUACAGAAUGACGGCCAGGUGCGGCCAGGUGGUGGAGGAGCCUGCCCCAGAAGCAUCCACUCUGGGGAAGGGGGAGACAGCAUAGGUGCAUGUCAGGGUAUGCUUAGGAUGCCAUGGAGUCAGCGGGGGCACCACCCAUGCUCAGAAACCCACGGCUACCGGGUCCCUAGGAAGCCCAUGCCAGCAGACACCUUUAUAUGCUAGGAGAAGGACGUAAGAACAUCCUGCUACUGAAGGCGGACCUGAGGGGUCCGGCCUUUCAAUCACGUGGGCUCGCCACCCAGGCACAGGACCUGAGCCGUGGCGGUGAAACCUGCGGACUCUGGGGAUGACCGAAUGAGGGCCUGUGGGCGGGACCGCAGCCCUGACUGACUUCAGCCCAGCACUGUGGGGCGCUCCCUGAGGCCCCGGGGUCACUCCUAUUUGCAGACUCCUGGCUCACAGCAGCACGCUUGCUGCUGCAGCUGUUUCUGGGAAGGCAGCACUUCUCACGUUCAAUCUCAAACUUCUGAACGUGACUUUUGUACGGUUUUGGGUAGGACAGUCAGGUAAAGAGCAACCAUACUCCCCCCCCCCCCCCAGAUACCUGUCACCAGUACACGUGGGAGAGCUAACUUGUUGGAGCUAAAGAGGAUGAGCAAGUGGUCAGGCCAGUCCCCUACUUGAUGGGCUGAUGAGGUCAGC